AGAGGUUGGGAGUUGAUUCUGGCGGACACGGCCUCGUUGUUCAACACAUUUCUUCUCAAGAAAUAGUAUGUGGAACAAAGCAACUUUGCGCAUACUUGCGAUGAUGUAUGUGGCUGAGCUGAAUGGACUGAUGUGCAUCGAGAGCUUAUGGUAAGUUACCGUUGCUCUCGCUCUCUCUGUGGGCCUUGGUAGUUCCUGAGGAUUGAUUCCUGAGAACGGGUUCUUGGUUGCUUCUAUUUAGAAAGCCCUUUGUAUAAAGGUGAAGGAGCUGAGGGAGGAAACGAUGUGAGACGUUGGCUUUCAGCUGCUGUCUAUGUAUGCUCCCUGUGGUCCUGGUCCUGUGGCAUCGAAUGUGUGUAGCGGGUAAUCAUGCGAUCUCUCUAGUUACUGCGUUGAAAUUGUCAUACAGGAUCUAUGUCCAAGGCGCUGUGUGACUGGAAGACUGCAUUUCAAAGGGACGAUCGAGAUAUUUCCGUGAGCUCAUUGGAGCGAGAGGGUAGUAUUACAUCCAAGGCCGAUGAUUUAAGUAAAAUAUAUAUUCACAGUCAACACGAGCUAGAACAGCAAUGGAAUUCAUACGUAAUUAACUACCG
Molecule: small RNA, 593 nt
Filed under: Histoplasma capsulatum
Lineage: Eukaryota; Fungi; Ascomycota; Eurotiomycetes; Onygenales; Ajellomycetaceae
Also listed under: 1 other name
Description: hypothetical RNA
Source: RNAcentral